This 497-nucleotide ribosomal RNA is filed under the name uncultured bacterium. RNAcentral's name for it is "partial 16S ribosomal RNA". It matches the Rfam family "Bacterial small subunit ribosomal RNA", at positions 28 to 507 of the family's 1533-position model. The record is from RNAcentral.
GAUGAACGCUGGCGGCGUGCCUAAUACAUGCGAGUCGAGCGAACAGACGAGGAGCUUGCUCCUCUGACGUUAGCGGCGGACGGGUGAGUAACACGUGGAUAACCUACCUAUAAGACUGGGAUAACUUCGGGAAACCGGAGCUAAUACCGGAUAACAUGUUGAACCGCAUGGUUCAACAGUGAAAGACGGUCUUGCUGUCACUUAUAGAUGGAUCCGCGCCGCAUUAGCUAGUUGGUAAGGUAACGGCUUACCAAGGCAACGAUGCGUAGCCGACCUGAGAGGGUGAUCGGCCACACUGGAACUGAGACACGGUCCAGACUCCUACGGGAGGCAGCAGUGGGGAAUCUUCCGCAAUGGGCGAAAGCCUGACGGAGCAACGCCGCGUGAGUGAAGAAGGUCUUCGGAUCGUAAAACUCUGUUAUUAGGGAAGAACAAAUGUGUAAGUAACUAUGCACGUCUUGACGGUACCUAAUCAGAAAGCCACGGCUAACUACGUG